AGUGAACGCUGGCGGUAGGCCUAACACAUGCAAGUCGAACGGCAGCACAGAGGAGCUUGCUCCUUGGGUGGCGAGUGGCGGACGGGUGAGGAAUACAUCGGAAUCUACUCUGUCGUGGGGGAUAACGUAGGGAAACUUACGCUAAUACCGCAUACGACCUACGGGUGAAAGCAGGGGAUCUUCGGACCUUGCGCGAUUGAAUGAGCCGAUGUCGGAUUAGCUAGUUGGCGGGGUAAAGGCCCACCAAGGCGACGAUCCGUAGCUGGUCUGAGAGGAUGAUCAGCCACACUGGAACUGCGACACGGUCCAGACUCCUACGGGAGGCAGCAGUGGGGAAUAUUGGACAAUGGGCGCAAGCCUGAUCCAGCCAUACCGCGUGGGUGAAGGCCUUCGGGUUGUAAAGCCCUUUUGUUGGGAAAGAAAUCCAUCUGGUUAAUACCCGGGUGGGAUGACGGUACCCAAAGAAUAAGCACCGGCUAACUUCGUGCCAGCCGCCGCAGUAA
RNAcentral lists this ribosomal RNA (503 nucleotides) under uncultured bacterium. RNAcentral describes it as "partial 16S ribosomal RNA". It matches the Rfam family "Bacterial small subunit ribosomal RNA", at positions 29 to 523 of the family's 1533-position model. The record is from RNAcentral.